GAUGAACGCUGGCGGCGUGCCUAAUACAUGCAAGUCGAGCGAAUGGAUUAAGAGCUUGCUCUUAUGAAGUUAGCGGCGGACGGGUGAGUAACACGUGGGUAACCUGCCCAUAAGACUGGGAUAACUCCGGGAAACCGGGGCUAAUACCGGAUAACGUUUUGAACCGCAUGGUUCGAAAUUGAAAGGCGGCUUCGGCUGUCACUUAUGGAUGGACCCACGUCGCAUUAGCUAGUUGGUGAGGUAACGGCUCACCAAGGCAACGAUGCGUAGCCGACCUGAGAGGGUGAUCGGCCACACUGGGACUGAGACACGGCCCAGACUCCUACGGGAGGCAGCAGUAGGGAAUCUUCCGCAAUGGACGAAAGUCUGACGGAGCAACGCCGGGUGAGUGAUGAAGGCUUUCGGGUCGUAAAACUCUGUUGUUAGGGAAGAACAAGUGCUAGUUGAAUAAGCUGGCACCUUGACGGUACCUAACCAGAAAGCCACGGCUAACUACGUGCCAGCCGCCGCAGUAA
RNAcentral lists this ribosomal RNA (515 nucleotides) under uncultured bacterium. RNAcentral describes it as "partial 16S ribosomal RNA". It matches the Rfam family "Bacterial small subunit ribosomal RNA", at positions 28 to 523 of the family's 1533-position model. The record is from RNAcentral.